UUAGGAAUCUUCCACAAUGGGCGAAAGCCUGAUGGAGCGACGCCGCGUGAGGGAUGAAGGCCUUAGGGUUGUAAACCUCUAAAAGAGGGACGAUAAUGACGGUACCUCUUGAAUAGCACCGGCUAACUCCGUGCCAGCAGCCGCGGUAAUACGGAGGGUGCAAGCGUUAUCCGGAAUCACUGGGCGUAAAGGGCGCGUAGGCGGUCUGUUAAGUCCGAUGUUAAAUCCCGGGGCUCAACCCCGGAUAAGCGUUGGAUACUGGCAGGCUAGACGGUUGGAGAGGCUAGUGGAAUUACCAGUGUAGCGGUGGAAUGCGUAGAUACUGGUAGGAACACCCAUUGCGAAGGCAGCUCGCUGGACAACACGUGACGCUGAGGCGCGAAAGUGUGGGGAGCAAACC
This 400-nucleotide ribosomal RNA is filed under the name uncultured bacterium. RNAcentral describes it as "bacterial SSU rRNA". It matches the Rfam family "Bacterial small subunit ribosomal RNA", at positions 355 to 774 of the family's 1533-position model. The record is from RNAcentral.